UGGUGUUUGUGAUUUUAUAAUCGCAGAAUUAAAAGGGAAGCAGGUGUAAAUCCUGCACAACAGCCAUUACUGUAAUUGAGGUUAAGGUUUGGCGAUAUACCAUUGGUGUUAAUAUGCUGAGAAGGUGCCAAAUUAAAGUAUAUUUUAUACUUGCCUCAUAAGUCAGGAUACCUGCCGCUUUCUAU
RNAcentral lists this non-coding RNA (185 nucleotides) under human gut metagenome. The record is from RNAcentral.